ACGGGAGGCAGCAGUGGGGAAUAUUGGGCAAUGGGGGCAACCCUGACCCAGCAACGCCGCGUGAAGGAAGAAGGCUUUCGGGUUGUAAACUUCUUUGACGAGGGACGAUAAUGACGGUACCUCGAAAACAAGCCACGGCUAACUACGUGCCAGCAGCCGCGGUAAUACGUAGGGGGCAAGCGUUAUCCGGAUUUACUGGGUGUAAAGGGAGCGUAGACGGUCUUGCAAGUCUGAUGUGAAAGGCAGGGGCUCAACUCCUGGACUGCAUUGGAAACUGUGAGUCUUGAGUGCCGGAGAGGUAAGCGGAAUUCCUAGUGUAGCGGUGAAAUGCGUAGAUAUUAGGAGGAACACCAGUGGCGAAGGCGGCUUACUGGACGGUAACUGACGUUGAGGCUCGAAAGCGUGGGGAGCAAACAGGAUUAGAUACCCUGGUA
This 434-nucleotide ribosomal RNA is filed under the name uncultured Lachnospiraceae bacterium. RNAcentral's name for it is "bacterial SSU rRNA". It matches the Rfam family "Bacterial small subunit ribosomal RNA", at positions 341 to 792 of the family's 1533-position model. Lineage: Bacteria; Bacillati; Bacillota; Clostridia; Lachnospirales; Lachnospiraceae. The record is from RNAcentral.